GCUUGGGUGGCUCAGUUGGUUAAGUGCCUGCCUUCCACUCAGGUCAUAAUCCCAGGGUCCUGGGAUCGAGCCCCAGCCCCUGCU
This 84-nucleotide transfer RNA is filed under the name Ailuropoda melanoleuca (giant panda). It matches the Rfam family "tRNA". From Rfam's summary of the family: Transfer RNA (tRNA) molecules are approximately 80 nucleotides in length. Their secondary structure includes four short double-helical elements and three loops (D, anti-codon, and T loops). Lineage: Eukaryota; Metazoa; Chordata; Mammalia; Carnivora; Ursidae. The record is from Rfam by way of RNAcentral.